Molecule: ribosomal RNA, 253 nt
Filed under: uncultured bacterium
Lineage: Bacteria
Description: partial 16S ribosomal RNA
Rfam family: Bacterial small subunit ribosomal RNA
Source: RNAcentral
UACGUAGGGUGCGAGCGUGGUCCGGAAUUAUUGGGCGUAAAGAGCUCGUAGGCGGUUUGUCACGUCUGCUGUGAAAUCCCGAGGCUCAACCUCGGGCCUGCAGUGGGUACGGGCAGACUGGAGUGCGGUAGGGGAGAAUGGAAUUCCUGGUGUAGCGGUGGAAUGCGCAGAUAUCAGGAGGAACACCGAUGGCGAAGGCAGUUCUCUGGGCCGUAACUGACGCUGAGGAGCGAAAGCGUGGGGAGCGAACAGG